GACGAACGCUGGCGGCGUGCUUAACACAUGCAAGUCGAACGGAAAUGCCCUUCUUUUGUGGGGUGCUCGAGUGGCGAACGGUUGAGUAACACGUUAGUAACCUGCCCUUGACUUUGGGUUAACUUCAGGAAACUGGGGCUAAUACCGGAUAGGAGCUCCUGCUGCAUGGUUGGGGUUUGAAAGUUUCGGCGGUUGGGGAUGGACUCGCGGCUUAUCAGCUUGUUGGUGGGGUAGUGGCUUACCAAGGCUUUGACGGGUAGCCGGCCUGAGAGGGUGACCGGCAACAUGGGGACUGAGAUACGGCCCAGAGUCCUACGGGAGGCAGCAGUGGGGAAUAUUGCACGAUGGGCGGAAGCCUGAUGCAGCAACGACGCGUGCGGGAUGACGGCCUUCGGGUUGUAAACCGCUUUCGCCUGUGACGAAGCGUGAGUGACGGUAAUGGGUAAAGAAGCACCGGCUAACUACGUG
RNAcentral lists this ribosomal RNA (468 nucleotides) under uncultured bacterium. Its description in RNAcentral is "partial 16S ribosomal RNA". It matches the Rfam family "Bacterial small subunit ribosomal RNA", at positions 28 to 507 of the family's 1533-position model. The record is from RNAcentral.